ACUACGUGGCACACGGCUCAGUAACACGUAGUCAACAUAACCGAAGGACGUGGAUAAACUCGGGAAACUGAGGCUAGACCGCGAUAGAUCAAGAUACCUGGAAUGGUUUUUGAUCAAAAUCUAUAUGGCCUUUGGAUUGGACUGCGUCCGAUCAGGCUGUUGGUGAGGUAAUGGCCCACCAAACCUGUAACCGGUACGGGCUCUGAGAGGAGGAGCCCGGAGAUGGGUACUGAGAAAAGGACCCAGGCCCUAUGGGGCGCAGCAGGCGCGAAACCUCUGCAAUAGGCGAAAGCCUGAUAGGGUUAUUCUGAGUGACUUUCGCUAAGAAAGUCUUUUGACACCUCUAAAAAUGGUGUAGAAUAAGGGGUGGGCAAGUCUGGUGUCAGCCGCCGCGGUAAUACCAGCACCCCGAGUGGUCGGGACGAUUAUUGGGCCUAAAGCAUCCGUAGCCGGUUUUACAAGUCCUCCGUUAAAUCCAGCUGCUUAACAGAUGGGCUGCGGAGGAUACUAUAAGACUAGGAGGCAGGAGAGGCAAGCGGUACUCAGUGGGUAGGGGUAAAAUCCGUUGAUCCAUUGAAGACCACCAAUGGCGAAGGCGGCUUGCCAGAAUGCGCUCGACGGUGAGGGAUGAAAGCUGGGGGAGCAAACCGGAUUAGAUACCCGGGUAGUCCCAGCUGUAAACGAUGCAGACUCGGUGAUGGACUAGCUUUAUGCUAGUCCAGUGCCGCAGGGAAGCCGUUAAGUCUGCCGCCUGGGUAGUACGGUCGCAAGACUGAA
Molecule: ribosomal RNA, 777 nt
Filed under: uncultured archaeon
Lineage: Archaea
Description: bacterial SSU rRNA
Rfam family: Archaeal small subunit ribosomal RNA
Source: RNAcentral